GAUGAAGAACGUAGCGAAAUGCGAUACGUAAUGUGAAUUGCAAAUUCAGUGAAUCAUCGAGUCUUUGAACGCACAUUGCGCCCCUUGGUAUUCCGGGGGGCAUGCCUGUCCGAGCGUCAUUGCUGCCCUCAAGCACGGCUUGUGUGUUGGGCCCCGUCCUCCGAUCCCGGGGGACGGGCCCGAAAGGCAGCGGCGGCACCGCGUCCGGUCCUCGAGCGUAUGGGGCUUUGUCACCCGCUCUGUAGGCCCGGCCGGCGCUUGCCGAUCAACCCAAAUUUUUAUCCAGGUUGACCUCGGAUCAGGUAGGGAUACCCGCUGAACUUAAGCAUAUCAAUAAGCGGAGGA
RNAcentral lists this unclassified non-coding RNA (345 nucleotides) under soil metagenome. RNAcentral's name for it is "partial contains 5.8S ribosomal RNA, internal transcribed spacer 2, and large subunit ribosomal RNA". The stretch from base 1 to 119 matches the Rfam family "5.8S ribosomal RNA", at positions 35 to 154 of the family's 154-position model. The record is from RNAcentral.